AGAGUUUGAUCCUGGCUCAGAACGAACGCUGGCGGCAGGCUUAACACAUGCAAGUCGAACGAGAUCUUCGGAUCUAGUGGCAGACGGGUGAGGAACACGUGGGAACAUCCCUUUCAGUUCGGAAUAACGUUGGGAAACUAACGCUAAUACCGGAUACGUCCUUCGGGAGAAAGAUUUAUCGCUGAAAGAUUGGCCCGCGUCUGAUUAGCUAGUUGGUGAGGUAAUGGCUCACCAAGGCGACGAUCAGUAGCUGAUCUGAGAGGAUGAUCAGCCACAUUGGGACUGAGACACGGCCCAAACUCCUACGGGAGGCAGCAGUGGGGAAUAUUGGACAAUGGGCGCAAGCCUGAUCCAGCCAUGCCGCGUGAGUGAUGAAGGCCUUCGGGUUGUAAAGCUCUUUUGUCCGGGAAGAUAAUGACG
RNAcentral lists this ribosomal RNA (420 nucleotides) under uncultured Methylocapsa sp. RNAcentral describes it as "bacterial SSU rRNA". It matches the Rfam family "Bacterial small subunit ribosomal RNA", at positions 8 to 456 of the family's 1533-position model. Lineage: Bacteria; Pseudomonadati; Pseudomonadota; Alphaproteobacteria; Hyphomicrobiales; Beijerinckiaceae. The record is from RNAcentral.